GGCAACUUGGCAAGAGCAACGGCUCAGGGCCACCACUCCCACGGCUGCAGCUUCCCCUUCCCAGGAUGAAGCAUGGGGCAGUGAGACCCAGGAAAUGACCAGGGCUACAGGGUGUGAGCCCGCGCAGACACCACAGUGGCAGCAGCACACACAGAUGCCAGGUGCCUGGGGAAGAGCACGCAGCGGGCACCCACGGGAGCUGAGGGCUCGGGCUCCCACCCGGAGAGGCCGAACAGAGCAGAGGUGUUUGCCGCGAAGUGCUCUCCUCCUCCCCGCUCCCUGGAGAUUGACUCCGCAGGAACCCUGGAGCAGCACCACCUCGCCCCACGCAGAGUGCUCAGAGCACCUCUCCAUGGAGCCAACCGGUAAGCAACUUGGACACAGCAGGGCGAAACGGGAAGCAGCAGCCCUGGUUGCCUGGGCCCAGGAUGGCUCCCCAGAGGAGCGUACUCAGGUGACGGUGGAGGCAGGGGAAGGGUGGCUCCCCGAGGGCCCCUUCUACCCACAGGUCAGAUGGCUGUACGGCAAUCCAGG
RNAcentral lists this long non-coding RNA (534 nucleotides) under Marmota monax (woodchuck). The record is from RNAcentral. Lineage: Eukaryota; Metazoa; Chordata; Mammalia; Rodentia; Sciuridae.